Molecule: ribosomal RNA, 804 nt
Filed under: bacterium SK104
Lineage: Bacteria
Description: bacterial SSU rRNA
Rfam family: Bacterial small subunit ribosomal RNA
Source: RNAcentral
UCGAACGGCAGCACGGGCUUCGGCCUGGUGGCGAGUGGCGAACGGGUGAGUAAUAUAUCGGAACGUACCCAGAAGUGGGGGAUAACGUAGCGAAAGUUACGCUAAUACCGCAUACGAUCUACGGAUGAAAGUGGGGGAUCGCAAGACCUCAUGCUUUUGGAGCGGCCGAUAUCUGAUUAGCUAGUUGGUGAGGUAAAGGCUCACCAAGGCGACGAUCAGUAGCUGGUCUGAGAGGACGACCAGCCACACUGGAACUGAGACACGGUCCAGACUCCUACGGGAGGCAGCAGUGGGGAAUUUUGGACAAUGGGCGCAAGCCUGAUCCAGCAAUGCCGCGUGAGUGAAGAAGGCCUUCGGGUUGUAAAGCUCUUUUGUCAGGGAAGAAACGGUAGAGGCUAAUAUCCUUUGCUAAUGACGGUACCUGAAGAAUAAGCACCGGCUAACUACGUGCCAGCAGCCGCGGUAAUACGUAGGGUGCAAGCGUUAAUCGGAAUUACUGGGCGUAAAGCGUGCGCAGGCGGUUUUGUAAGUCUGACGUGAAAGCCCCGGGCUCAACCUGGGAAUUGCGUUGGAGACUGCAAGGCUUGAAUCUGGCAGAGGGGGGUAGAAUUCCACGUGUAGCAGUGAAAUGCGUAGAGAUGUGGAGGAACACCGAUGGCGAAGGCAGCCCCCUGGGUCAAGAUUGACGCUCAUGCACGAAAGCGUGGGGAGCAAACAGGAUUAGAUACCCUGGUAGUCCACGCCCUAAACGAUGUCUACUAGUUGUCGGGUUUUAAUUAACUUGGUAACGCAGCUAACGCGUGA